Molecule: microRNA precursor, 210 nt
Organism: Oryza sativa Indica Group (long-grained rice)
Lineage: Eukaryota; Viridiplantae; Streptophyta; Magnoliopsida; Poales; Poaceae
Rfam family: MIR812 microRNA precursor family
Source: Rfam
AAUAAGUGUACUUUUACACUAUUCAUCUUCAACGUUUGACCGUUCGUCUUAUGUGAAAUUUUUUUAUGAUUACUAUUUUAUUUGUUAUUAGAUGAUAAAAUAUGAAUAGUACUUUUUUGUGUGUGACUAUUUUUUUAAAAAAAUUCAUAAAUUUUUCAAAUAAGACGGACGGUUAAACGUUGGACACGGAUUUUCACUGCUGUACUUAUU